GAUGAACGCUGGCGGCGUGCCUAAUACAUGCAAGUCGAGCGAACAGACGAGGAGCUUGCUCCUCUGACGUUAGCGGCGGACGGGUGAGUAACACGUGGAUAACCUACCUAUAAGCCUGGGAUAACUUCGGGAAACCGGAGCUAAUACCGGAUAAUAUAUUGAACCGCAUGGUUCAAUAGUGAAAGACGGUUUUGCUGUCACUUAUAGAUGGAUCCGCGCCGCAUUAGCUAGUUGGUAAGGUAACGGCUUACCAAGGCAACGAUGCGUAGCCGACCUGAGAGGGUGAUCGGCCACACUGGAACGGAGACACGGUCCAGACUCCUACGGGAGGCAGCAGUAGGGAAUCUUCCGCAAUGGGCGAAAGCUUGACGGAGCAACGCCGCGUGAGUGAUGAAGGUCUUCGGAUCGUAAAACUCUGUUAUUAGGGAAGAACAAAUGUGUAAGUAACUAUGCACGUCUUGACGGUACCUAAUCAGAAAGCCACGGCUAACUACGUG
This 497-nucleotide ribosomal RNA is filed under the name uncultured bacterium. RNAcentral's name for it is "partial 16S ribosomal RNA". It matches the Rfam family "Bacterial small subunit ribosomal RNA", at positions 28 to 507 of the family's 1533-position model. The record is from RNAcentral.